RNAcentral lists this ribosomal RNA (442 nucleotides) under uncultured bacterium. Its description in RNAcentral is "bacterial SSU rRNA". It matches the Rfam family "Bacterial small subunit ribosomal RNA", at positions 29 to 518 of the family's 1533-position model. The record is from RNAcentral.
AACGAACGCUGGCGGCAGGCCUAACACAUGCAAGUCGAACGCCCUAGCAAUAGGGAGUGGCAGACGGGUGAGUAACACGUGGGAACCUUCCCUAUAGUACGGAAUAUACCAGGGAAACUUGGAGCAAUACCGUAUACGCCCGAGAGGGGAAAGAUUUAUCGCUAUAGGAUGGGCCCGCGUAGGAUUAGCUAGUUGGUGAGGUAAUGGCUCACCAAGGCGACGAUCCUUAGCUGGUUUGAGAGAACGACCAGCCACACUGGGACUGAGACACGGCCCAGACUCCUACGGGAGGCAGCAGUGGGGAAUAUUGGACAAUGGGCGCAAGCCUGAUCCAGCCAUGCCGCGUGAGUGAUGAAGGCCUUAGGGUUGUAAAGCUCUUUUGCCGGGGACGAUAAUGACGGUACCGGAGAAUAGUCCCGGCUAACUUCGUGCCAGCCGCCGC